CCUACGGGGGGCAGCAGUGAGGAAUAUUGGUCAAUGGGCGCGAGCCUGAACCAGCCAAGUAGCGUGAAGGAUGACUGCCCUACGGGUUGUAAACUUCUUUUAUAAAGGAAUAAAGUGAGGCACGUGUGCCUUUUUGUAUGUACUUUAUGAAUAAGCAUCGGCUAACUCCGUGCCAGCAGCCGCGGUAAUACGGAGGAUGCGAGCGUUAUCCGGAUUUAUUGGGUUUAAAGGGUGCGUAGGUUGUUUUUUAAGUCAGCGGUGAAAGUUUGUGGCUCAACCAUAAAAUUGCCGUUGAAACUGGAAGACUUGAGUGUGUUUGAGGUACGCGGAAUGCGCGGUGUAGCGGUGAAAUGCUUAGAUAUCGCGCAGAACCCCGAUUGCGAAGGCAGCGUACCGGCUCCACACUGACGCUGAGGCACGAAAGCGUGGGUAUCGAACAGGAUUAGAUACCCGGGUAGUC
This 460-nucleotide ribosomal RNA is filed under the name uncultured bacterium. Its description in RNAcentral is "partial 16S ribosomal RNA". It matches the Rfam family "Bacterial small subunit ribosomal RNA", at positions 338 to 795 of the family's 1533-position model. The record is from RNAcentral.